UGGUGUCUUGUGCGGAUGCGGAGUGUGCAAAGCCCUGGGAAAAGGCGGCCCCUGGAGCCAGGGAGCUGAUGGCAGCACUUUGUCACCGUAUUUACACUUCCACUGGCCCAACGUGAAGCGUUUGGCUCUCCUCCACUUGCGGAAGGGAUUAGCUACUUCAUAACAUCCAGACAAGAUAAUCUCUCCAAUUUUGCCUGGAAGAAGUCCCUGACAAAGAGCAGCAAAGCUACAAUAAUGCCAGAUGAAACAAGCAACAAAACACUGUCCCUGGGUUGAGUCAGACCAGCAGAGUUACAUCUGUGGUGAACCUCAGCGGCACAAGGAGGUGAAGCCACAUCUGGGCAGCAGACAGAGCAGUCCACAGAGCGCUGCUCCUCACCGGGGACUUCCGAAACCCACCGGCCGAUCAAUCUCCACAACUCGCUGAAUGAUAGA
This is a long non-coding RNA of Myiozetetes cayanensis, 435 nucleotides long. RefSeq lists it as uncharacterized. Lineage: Eukaryota; Metazoa; Chordata; Aves; Passeriformes; Tyrannidae. The transcript is spliced from 3 exons. The record is from RefSeq and is a predicted model, not a curated record.